CUGCGUGCUUCUAUAAAGCUGGCGGAAAACGUAACAUGAAAAGUUAUCUGAAAUAAUAAGCCGAAAGGGAGCAGAUUUCAGACGAAUCUCGGGCUUGGCAAAACCUCUUGUGGAAUGUAAAACAGAGGCCCUUCUUUGUGGAAGCUGUGUAUCCCAGAAAGACAACAGUACCAAGCAUGCCUGUGAUGGGGAGUUUCAAGCACUUAAGUCUGUAUAAGACAAGCAGCAAAGAAGAUUAAAGUGUAGAGACUUGAAAAGAGAACAGCUGCACCUGUUGGAGCAAAGUUCAGGAACAGAAGAUGUCACAGGAAUCCCAUUCACUUUUUGUCUGGGAUAAAAAAUGUUGAAAGGAGACAUUUAAACCCUUGGAAACUUAAAAAGAAUGUAAUGGAAGUCCAUGUGCUCAUUUUGAAUGCAACAAUUUUUAUAGCUUUUUAAUUUGUUUUGUUUUCUCAGGAACUUGGAAAAGCUAACAUCAUGGUAGAAUUGAUGAAUUAAAAGCAAAUUAUGGCUAAUGUGAAAU
Molecule: non-coding RNA, 523 nt
Organism: Pocillopora verrucosa
Lineage: Eukaryota; Metazoa; Cnidaria; Anthozoa; Scleractinia; Pocilloporidae
Source: RefSeq, a predicted model, not a curated record